Molecule: long non-coding RNA, 3020 nt
Organism: Cervus elaphus (red deer)
Lineage: Eukaryota; Metazoa; Chordata; Mammalia; Artiodactyla; Cervidae
Exons: 3
Source: RefSeq, a predicted model, not a curated record
AACUCAUAGUCCGGGCUGGAAACUGAGUCUCUUUGUAAGCAGUCUUUGGAGUUUCUGAUGUUAGUUUUCAAGUUAUCCAACCCCUCCUUGGAGGAGUGAGUUUGCAGACCUGAAUCAGACUUCACCUUCACAUAGACCUUGCCUAGGAACUGGUUCAAACUACAGUUGGUUAAAUACUCCUUUAUUCUUUGAUGCUAAUAACACCUUCAUGACAAGCCUGGGGAGUAAUAAUUAUUAAUUCACUUUUGCUACCCAAGCAACGGAUGGAACUUAAGUUGCCCAAGAUCACACAGGUGAUUUAGAAUUGGAACCUAAUGUCCUCAAAGAGUGGAAGAGGGAAACAGAAGAAUCAGUGUCAAAGUGAUGCAUUCUGAGAAGACUCCACUGGCUAUUGCCGGCUUUGAAGACGGAACGGGGAGGCCAUAGGACAAGCAAUGUGAGCAGCCCCUAGGAGCUGGAAAAAGCAAGAAAGGAGAUCUUCUCCUGGAGCUUCCAGAAAUCAACACAGCUCUGACACACUUUGAUUUUAGCCCAGUAAGACCCAUUUUGAACUUCUAAUCUCCAGAACAAUAAAAUAAGAAAUUUAUGUGGUUUCAAGCUGCUAAAUCUGUGGUGAUCUGGUGAAGCAACAACAGGAAAUUAACACACUAUCCAAACUAAUAUUUGAAAUUCCACAAUGGUUUAAGACUUAACUAAUGGCAAAGGUACAUGAGUUUGAUCCCAAAGGACUCUGAAGAUACAGUUGAACCAAAGGAAGGCUACCUUCAGUAUAUUUUUUUGUCUCUCUUGAAAAUAAAUUCACCUUAUGCUAGAGAGUUCUUAACUUCUUCACCUAAGAAUAUUCGACGACUGAGGCAAUGAGAAGAUCUGAAAUAUCUACUACAGACUCAUACCAAUGAAUCUGCUUUCAUUCAACAGUCUCAGUCCCUAAAUUUAGUAGUUCCUAAAUCAGUCAUCAAUUAGAGAUAGAAAUAUCUUUUAAUGCAUACACAUUGUCUUCAAGAAAGCUCUUAAAGUCACCAGUUUUUAGCUAACAUAAUUGGGGAACAUGUAUACAUAUAUAUGAACAGAUUUCCUUAACUUAUACAGUAAUUACAUAGACUAGGCUAUGUGUCUCAUGCAAGAAAAAUAUGCAUAUAUCAGCUUAAAGAUCUCCCAGUAUACCCCAAUUAUAACAGUUGUACCAUAACCAUAAAUCACAGUUACACAGUAACUCUAAAUCAUUAAUUAAUGCAAUAAGUACUCACUGAACACUCAUUAUGUGCUAAACAUUAUUCUUGGUGAUUGGGACGUAUCAGAGAGUCACUGUAUUUCCUAGAAAACUUUUUCUUGAGAACUUUUUAAAUGUUCUCAUUUAAACUUAACUCCUAAUUCACAUAGUAUCUCAAGCUCCAUAAUCCUGACACUCCUAAAAAUUCUGUUCCACUCAUCAUACUGAAUGCCUGAUACAGUGAUUAAGAAAAUAUGUUGUACAGUCAGACAAAUUUGGGUUUGGGACACUCUCAACUACUAGCUGGGACAUUGGUCAAGGUAAUAAAAAUUAGUUGUAACUUUCUUUUCUGUAAAAUGGAAAUGAUAAUAUUUAUCCUACAGAAUUGUUGGAAACUGUAAUUACAAUUAAUACAUUAUUCAUAUAGCAUCUUACAUGGUAUCAAGUAUUCAAUAAUGAUCAUUAUUGUUUAUAUUAUUACUAUCAUAUCAUAGUGCUUAAAUUGUAUCACUUUUUAUUAUACUUGUUAUGUUGUUGCUAUUUGCCCACUAAUAUAGGCCUGAGAAACAAAAGACACAAAUUCUGACUAAGACAUAGAGGUAAUUCUGCCAUGAUAUUGACCUUGCUGAUUUGUAACUUAUUUGCACCUCCAGUUAUAACAAGGCAAUUGAUUUUGAAUGAGCUUUACUAGUUUGUUUGGGUUUUCCUAAAUCUUAGUGGUCUGAUCAUCCUAUUCACUGAAAAGAGUGUUUACCAGCAAACGGUGGUGGGAGCAGGACGUAUCUCUUUAGAUACAUUCAGAAGGAAAGUUGUUUCUGCCUAUUGUAAGCAGACUCAUGACAGUAACACCUAACCCUUCCUUAGGGUUAAGAUCUUAUGCUUAUGUUUAGUUUCUCAUUCACGUCUGAUUCUUUGCAAGCCCAUGGACUGUAGCCUGCCGGGCUCCUCUGUCCGUGGGAGUUUUCAAGCAAGAAUACUGGAGUAGGUUGUCAUGUCUUCCAGGGGAUCUUCCUGACCCAGGGAUUGAACCCUCAUCUCCUUCUUGCACUGCAGGCAGAUUCGUUACCUGCUGAGCCAUCAGGGUCAAGUACUCACAAAUCCAAGGAAGAGAUCAUCAGCUUUGCAACAAAUAUUAAUACAACAGAAUGGAACAUAGUUUGGGCAGCCAGGCUGUUUUCUCUAGGUUAAAAUUAAAAAGUUGAAGCAAUUUCAGGGAGAAUGUUCUGAGAUCAUCUUUCUAAACAACCCCAAAGAGAAAAUUUAAGUAUCUGACAGCUGAGUGUCAUUAAUAAAAGUAAUAUAAUUACAUAUCUGAUACCUACAAUCUAUUAUCUAUCUACGUAGUCUCAUUUCCAUUCCCCUUCCCCCACUGAUUUCCAAAGAAUUUUUUGUGACAUUGAAAUAAAGGAGUUUUGUGUCCAUAUAAACAUUUUUAUUGGGCAAUAAUGACUAGAAAUGUUUCACUUUCAUUGACAAGUUUAAGUACACUUCUUUUUUUUUUUUUGACAUUUUAGAAAUCAGGCAUAAGAAUACAAAUAUAUUUAUCAUCCAUUGGCUGAGAUAAUAGCUCCCCAUUGGGGCCCAAUAAAUAGCCUCUAAUGUUUAUUUGAUCAAUAAACAAUUAAAUUGGGAUCCAAAGGCCAACAAACAUACAGGCAAGAAUCCAUGAGUGUGUGGCUCGCCUUGGAACCAGGCAUUUAGCCUUGAUGCACACACUUCCUUGCUGAAAGCAAGCGCUUUGCACAUAAGCCACACACUAUGUUGAUCUGAGAAACUCAGAGCCCAAAUCCCAGUUGACAAAGCACACCUG